AAUGGACGAAAGUCUGAACCAGCCAUGCCGCGUGAAGGAUGAAGGUCCUCUGGAUUGUAAACUUCUUUUAUCUGGGACGAAAAAAGGGAAUUCUUUCUCACUUGACGGUACCAGAAGAAUAAGCACCGGCUAACUCCGUGCCAGCAGCCGCGGUAAUACGGAGGGUGCAAGCGUUAUCCGGAUUCACUGGGUUUAAAGGGUGCGUAGGUGGGCAGUUAAGUCAGUGGUGAAAUCUCCGGGCUUAACCCGGAAACUGCCAUUGAUACUAUCUGUCUUGAAUACUCUGGAGGUAAGCGGAAUAUGUCAUGUAGCGGUGAAAUGCUUAGAUAUGACAUAGAACACCGAUUGCGAAGGCAGCUUACUACGGAGUCAUUGACACUGAGGCACGAAAGCGUGGGGAUCAAA
RNAcentral lists this ribosomal RNA (405 nucleotides) under uncultured bacterium. Its description in RNAcentral is "bacterial SSU rRNA". It matches the Rfam family "Bacterial small subunit ribosomal RNA", at positions 370 to 772 of the family's 1533-position model. The record is from RNAcentral.